Molecule: ribosomal RNA, 301 nt
Filed under: uncultured bacterium
Lineage: Bacteria
Description: partial 16S ribosomal RNA
Rfam family: Bacterial small subunit ribosomal RNA
Source: RNAcentral
CAGCAGCCGCGGUAAUACGAAGGGUGCAAGCGUUACUCGGAAUUACUGGGCGUAAAGCGUGCGUAGGUGGUGGUUUAAGUCCGUUGUGAAAGCCCUGGGCUCAACCUGGGAAUUGCAGUGGAUACUGGGUCACUAGAGUGUGGUAGAGGAUAGUGGAAUUUCCGGUGUAGCGGUGAAAUGCGUAGAGAUCUGGAGGAAUACCGAUGGCGAAGGCAGCCAUCUGGCCUAAUACUGACGCUGAGGUACGAAAGCAUGGGGAGCAAACAGGAUUAGAUACCCCAGUAGUCCCUGUCUCUUAUAA